RNAcentral lists this ribosomal RNA (253 nucleotides) under uncultured bacterium. RNAcentral's name for it is "partial 16S ribosomal RNA". It matches the Rfam family "Bacterial small subunit ribosomal RNA", at positions 524 to 776 of the family's 1533-position model. The record is from RNAcentral.
UACGGGGGGGGCAAGCGUUGUUCGGAAUUACUGGGCGUAAAGGGCGCGUAGGCGGUUUGCUAAGUUGGAUGUGAAAACUCUGGGCUUAACCCAGAGCCUGCAUCCAAAACUGGCAAACUUGAGUACUGGAGGGGAAAGCGGAAUUCCUGGUGUAGCGGUGAAAUGCGUAGAUAUCAGGAGGAACACCGGUGGCGAAGGCGGGUUGCUGGGCCGACACUGACGCUGAAGCGCGAAAGCCAGGGGAGCGAACGGG